Small nuclear RNA from Acomys russatus (golden spiny mouse), 104 nucleotides. The record is from RefSeq and is a predicted model, not a curated record. Lineage: Eukaryota; Metazoa; Chordata; Mammalia; Rodentia; Muridae.
GUGCUCGUUUCAGCAGCACACAUACUAAAAUUGGAAUGAUAUAGAGAUUAGCAUGGCCCCUGCACAAAGACAACACUCAAACUGAUGAAGCAUCCCAUAUUUUU